This 916-nucleotide ribosomal RNA is filed under the name uncultured bacterium. RNAcentral describes it as "bacterial SSU rRNA". It matches the Rfam family "Bacterial small subunit ribosomal RNA", at positions 246 to 1155 of the family's 1533-position model. The record is from RNAcentral.
UUGUUGGUAAGGUAAAAGCUUACCAAGGCUUCGAUCAGUAGCUGGUCUGAGAGGACGACCAGCCACACUGGGACUGAGACACGGCCCAGACUCCUACGGGAGGCAGCAGUGGGGAAUUUUGGACAAUGGGGGCAACCCUGAUCCAGCCAUGCCGCGUGAGUGAAGAAGGCRUUCGGGUUGUAAAGCUCUUUCAGCCGGAACGAAACGGUUACGGUUAAUACCCGUGACUACUGACGGUACCGGAAGAAGAAGCACCGGCUAACUACGUGCCAGCAGCCGCGGUAAUACGUAGGGUGCGAGCGUUAAUCGGAAUUACUGGGCGUAAAGCGUGCGCAGGUGGUUUUGUAAGUCAGAUGUGAAAGCCCCGGGCUCAACCUGGGAACUGCGUUUGAAACUACAAGACUAGAGUGUGGCAGAGGGGGGUGGAAUUCCGCGUGUAGCAGCGAAAUGCGUAGAGAUGUGGAGGAACACCGAUGGCGAAGGCAGCCCCCUGGGUCAACACUGACGCUCAGGCACGAAAGCAUGGGGAGCAAACAGGAUUAGAUACCCUGGUAGUCCAUGCCCUAAACGAUGUCAACUAGUUGUCGGGCCUUUACGGGCUUGGUAACGUAGCUAACGCGUGAAGUUGACCGCCUGGGGAGUACGAUCGCAAGAUUAAAACUCAAAUGAAUUGACGGGGACCCGCACAAGCGGUGGAUUAUGUGGAUUAAUUCGAUGCAACGCGAAAAACCUUACCUACCCUUGACAUGUAUCGAAGCCCGCAGAAAAGCGGGGGUGCCCGAAAGGGAACGAUAACACAGGUGCUGCAUGGCUGUCGUCAGCUCGUGUCGUGAGAUGUUGGGUUAAGUCCCGCAACGAGCGCAACCCUUGUCAUUAAUUGCCAUCAUUUAGUUGGGCACUUUAAUGAGACUGCCGG